RNAcentral lists this small RNA (632 nucleotides) under uncultured Faecousia sp. The record is from RNAcentral. Lineage: Bacteria; Bacillati; Bacillota; Clostridia; Eubacteriales; Oscillospiraceae.
AUGCAUUUGUGGCGCUGUAUCCUAGUCAGUGCUGCCGAUUCCGAAGAAGGGCCUAAAAAUCCUUUAAAGGGCAUAUCGAUGAAGUCCCUGGUGCUUGCUUGUUACGCCCAGUUUCGGGUGGGUGCUGGGGGUUAAGGCUUCCGGGCGCACGCCAAUGGCAUGGCGCUCCCGACCCGGUUGCCGUGGAGACCGGUGUUUGUGCGACGUCAGCCGCGUAGUGAGCUUGCUCAUCUUCCUGACGCGUACGACUCUGGAGAGGAACCUGCAUUUCGGUGCACAGAAUCGUGUGCUGUGUGCAGCGUAGCCUGCCUUGCGUGAAUGCGAUGGGGACAGGGGAGCUACGCAUAGUUUGCUUAUGGCCAUAGGCAGAUGUGAUAUUCCCUCGAAACCGUAUUUGCAAAAGAGGAUAAGAAUCGGUGUGAACUGCUGUGGAAAUCACCUAGGCAGUCUGAAAUACGGGCAGGUGUGGGAUUGCAGUACGGACUAAGUGGCAAUCGGGUACAGUCAAUGGCGACAUGGCUGCACCGGGCCGAACGGGAAACCGCCGCUUGGCGACAAGCGGUGUCCGGCGGGGAAAUCCGACCCGACCUAAGCCGUAAGGUUUACCACACUUGCUGCCACAUAUCAUUAGA